CCGGUUGCAAAUUUCCAAAAAGGAGAGUAAAAUAAUUAAUGAGUCAAGGUCUCAGGAGAGACAGAAG
Molecule: non-coding RNA, 67 nt
Filed under: Pan troglodytes (chimpanzee)
Lineage: Eukaryota; Metazoa; Chordata; Mammalia; Primates; Hominidae
Also listed under: 1 other name
Source: RNAcentral